AGUGAACGCUGGCGGUAGGCCUAACACAUGCAAGUCGAACGGCAGCACAGUAAGAGCUUGCUCUUACGGGUGGCGAGUGGCGGACGGGUGAGGAAUACAUCGGAAUCUACUUUUUCGUGGGGGAUAACGUAGGGAAACUUGCGCUAAUACCGCAUACGACCUACGGGUGAAAGCAGGGGAUCUUCGGACCUUGCGCGAUUGAAUGAGCCGAUGUCGGAUUAGCUAGUUGGCGGGGUAAAGGCCCACCAAGGCGACGAUCCGUAGCUGGUCUGAGAAGAUGAUCAGCCACACUGGAACUGAGACACGGUCCAGACUCCUACGGGAGGCAGCAGUGGGGAAUAUUGGACAAUGGGCGCAAGCCUGAUCCAGCCAUACCGCGUGGGUGAAGAAGGCCUUCGGGUUGUAAAGCCCUUUUGUUGGGAAAGAAAAGCAGCAGGUUAAUACCCCGCUGUUCUGACGGUACCCAAAGAAUAAGCACCGGCUAACUUCGUG
RNAcentral lists this ribosomal RNA (492 nucleotides) under uncultured bacterium. RNAcentral describes it as "partial 16S ribosomal RNA". It matches the Rfam family "Bacterial small subunit ribosomal RNA", at positions 29 to 507 of the family's 1533-position model. The record is from RNAcentral.